Molecule: small nuclear RNA, 165 nt
Organism: Mus spicilegus (steppe mouse)
Lineage: Eukaryota; Metazoa; Chordata; Mammalia; Rodentia; Muridae
Gene: U1
Rfam family: U1 spliceosomal RNA
About the family: U1 is a small nuclear RNA (snRNA) component of the spliceosome (involved in pre-mRNA splicing). Its 5' end forms complementary base pairs with the 5' splice junction, thus defining the 5' donor site of an intron. There are significant differences in sequence and secondary structure between metazoan and yeast U1 snRNAs, the latter being much longer (568 nucleotides as compared to 164 nucleotides in human).
Source: Ensembl
AUACUUACCUGGUAGUGGAGAUACCACAAUCAAGAAGGUGGUUUUCACAGAGCAAGGCUCUUCUGUUACACUUGGGAUGCACUCACUUCUGUGAUAUCCUAAAAUGUAGGAAACUUGACUGCAUAAUUCAUAGUAGUCUGAGACUAUGGUCAUACUUUACUCUUA